This 484-nucleotide ribosomal RNA is filed under the name uncultured bacterium. Its description in RNAcentral is "partial 16S ribosomal RNA". It matches the Rfam family "Bacterial small subunit ribosomal RNA", at positions 30 to 507 of the family's 1533-position model. The record is from RNAcentral.
AUUGAACGCUGGCGGCAGGCCUAACACAUGCAAGUCGAGCGGAUGGAGGGAGCUUGCUCCUGGAUUCAGCGGCGGACGGGUGAGUAAUGCCUAGGAAUCUGCCUGGUAGUGGGGGAUAACGUCCGGAAACGGGCGCUAAUACCGCAUACGUCCUGAGGGAGAAAGUGGGGGAUCUUCGGACCUCACGCUAUCAGAUGAGCCUAGGUCGGAUUAGCUAGUUGGUGGGGUAAAGGCCUACCAAGGCGACGAUCCGUAACUGGUCUGAGAGGAUGAUCAGUCACGCUGGAACUGAGACACGGUCCAGACUCCUACGGGAGGCAGCAGUGGGGAAUAUUGGACAAUGGGCGAAAGCCUGAUCCAGCCAUGCCGCGUGUGUGAAGAAGGUCUUCGGAUUGUAAAGCACUUUAAGUUGGGAGGAAGGGCAGUAAGUUAAUACCUUGCUGUUUUGACGUUACCAACAGAAUAAGCACCGGCUAACUUCGUG